AACAGGAUUAGAUACCCUGGUAGUCCACGCCGUAAACGAUGUCGACUUGGAGGUUGUGCCCUUGAGGCGUGGCUUCCGGAGCUAACGCGUUAAGUCGACCGCCUGGGGAGUACGGCCGCAAGGUUAAAACUCAAAUGAAUUGACGGGGGCCCGCACAAGCGGUGGAGCAAGUGGUUUAAUUCGAUGCAACGCGAAGAACCUUACCUGGUCUUGACAUCCACAGAACUUUCCAGAGAUGGAUUGGUGCCUUCGGGAACUGUGAGACAGGUGCUGCAUGGCUGUCGUCAGCUCGUGUUGUGAAAUGUUGGGUUAAGUCCCGCAACGAGCGCAACCCUUAUCCUUUGUUGCCAGCGGUCCGGCCGGGAACUCAAAGGAGACUGCCAGUGAUAAACUGGAGGAAGGUGGGGAUGACGUCAAGUCAUCAUGGCCCUUACGACCAGGGCUACACACGUGCUACAAUGGCGCAUACAAAGAGAAGCAAUCUCGCGAGAGCUAGCGGACCUCAUAAAGUGCGUCGUAG
Molecule: ribosomal RNA, 520 nt
Filed under: uncultured Shigella sp.
Lineage: Bacteria; Pseudomonadati; Pseudomonadota; Gammaproteobacteria; Enterobacterales; Enterobacteriaceae
Description: bacterial SSU rRNA
Rfam family: Bacterial small subunit ribosomal RNA
Source: RNAcentral